AGGCUGGGGUCACGUUUGCUGCUAGUUUUUAGUAUAAAAUGAAAGAAGGGCGACGCUGAAGUUGGAAUGUCAUCGUUUCUUCUAAGUCACCUUCACAAUGAGAGCUGUGUUGUCUGUCGUAUUCCUCCUAGUCAGCUGUUCAGUGUUAAUAUCUGAAGCUCGCAUGCCGCCUUUGGACGAAUGUCCCCCAAAUACUAGACGGGUGGGUACUUGUUACCCCCCAUACUAUAAGUGCAAUCUCGGGGUCUGUAUUCCCAUAGUGCCGAAUGGCUACGGAGUGUGCUGCAAAGGACGUGGAUUCUACUGAGGCCUUCUUGAUAAAUGUUAACUGGGGACUUUGUCCUGAAUAAAUGACUUGAAAAAUAAAUAAUAAAUCUUCACUUUAAUUUCUUAAGCUGUUAAACUUUUCAACAUGCUGUUUAUUUCUUAAUUGAUUUACAUUAAAACUGAGAUUCCGUUUCAGUGAGUAGAAGAAAAGCUCUACACUCUGUUUUUCUUUGUAAAUCAUACAUCAUACAUCUGCAUGUACAAGAACAGGGACGCGUUGAUUUCUUUCAAGUUAUUGACUACUUUAUUGUCUAAUCAUUUUAUCAGGUUUUUGUAUUUACUCGUACAUGUAUGUUAACCUCACGUUUUUACUUCCCAUU
Magallana angulata is the source of this 647-nucleotide long non-coding RNA. RefSeq lists it as uncharacterized. The transcript has 3 exons. Lineage: Eukaryota; Metazoa; Mollusca; Bivalvia; Ostreida; Ostreidae. The record is from RefSeq and is a predicted model, not a curated record.